Molecule: long non-coding RNA, 1346 nt
Organism: Homo sapiens (human)
Lineage: Eukaryota; Metazoa; Chordata; Mammalia; Primates; Hominidae
Exons: 2
Source: RefSeq, a predicted model, not a curated record
GUUAGAGGAAUGCAGAACUCCCAAAUUCCAAGCAUCCAUGAUAACCACCUCUCCAGAGAAGUCUAAACAGGCCUGUUUUGGAAGUGAGUGCUAAGAGCAGGCAAAUGGGAAGAAAUGUCUGCAAAAUAUCUUUAUUAUUUUACCAUUAACACCAAUAUUUCUAGGUCAGAAGGAAGUUUGAUGAGCUCACCACGCAAGACUACAUGGUUACUGACUGGAAUGGCCAUCAGGAGGGCAGAGAGCCACUGCGCCUCUUUCUGCUGAGGGUUGUGGAUACAGAUGGGAAUUUGAAACCUUCUUUCCUGUUUGUGUGAAAAAUUCAGACUACUGGCAAAUUCUACCCUGGAAACUGACUAUGGGUCAAUGGGAGUCCGCUGGCGAAUGGAUACCGCCUGUUCUGUUUCCAAUUCAUCAGGAACCAUGUGGAGAAUUAAUAUCCUGCCCGUCCAGAAGGAAGGGAGUUAUUAUGGACAGCAAAGAGGAAAGGUAGCCAAGUUCAGAUGUUCCCCAGGCUGUGGCUGCUGAAAGUCAAACAGUAUGAAGUAUAAUGAAGGCAUAUCACAGCCUUCCUGUACUCAGAAACACUGGACGGCACUUCCACAAUAUGCUCUGAGGGCCACUUUGAGGAGUGAAAGCACCAACAGCAAGCACAAAAAUGAAAAAAAAAAAAAAAGGCACUGCACAGGCUGUGCAAGGACACCUGUUGGCUGUCUGAGAGCUGAAGCUAGAAGGUAGGGUUGCCUGGUUUCCACCUCAUCUGGCACAUGAGCAGCCAGAGACUCGGAUUUUUGCCCCUAUGGGCAUGUCUACAGAUGACUGGAAAAGAGCUGCAAGUAUUGAUUUUGGGGUCACGAAUACAUUUUAGCAAGUAGGUAAAUUAGCAAAUAUGGAAUCUGUGUAUAAUGAAGAUUGACUAUGUCCUAUUUCUGUGCUACCCUGAAUUUAUGUGGAUAUGUGAUGAUUUUAACAACACUACGGCUCAAUUAUGCAUGUGACUUCAUGCUAGUUUUAGCGCCAUUUAGAUUUUGAACUGUAAGUUUAUCUUGCAUGAUUUUAUUAUUUCUUUCCAUCCCACUUAAAGAAAGGUAGAGAAUUGCCUGUGGUUUACUGGUAGUGGUGACGGUGAAUUUCCUCCAGGGCACGAAACUAGCUUUCCAGGGGUAAUACGAAUCAGCUACAGAGCAACACAAAAGGAAUUAAUAGAAAUGUAAUCUCAAAAGGUACUUCUGUUUAAAACCACAAAAUCUUAUGUACUAUUUAUUAUCUGUAAAACCACAAAAUCUUAUGUACUAUUUAUUAUCUGUGGGUUGAAAAUAAAUUUCAGAAUCCAAAGAGGAUUGAAAGGG